Molecule: ribosomal RNA, 253 nt
Filed under: uncultured bacterium
Lineage: Bacteria
Description: partial 16S ribosomal RNA
Rfam family: Bacterial small subunit ribosomal RNA
Source: RNAcentral
UACGAAGGGGGCAAGCGUUGUCCGGAAUUACUGGGCGUAAAGGGCGCGUAGGCGGCUGACCAAGUCAGGUGUGAAAUUCCCGGGCUCAACCUGGGGGCUGCGCUUGAUACUGAUUGGCUUGAAUGCGGGAGAGGAUAGUGGAAUUCCCAGUGUAGAGGUGAAAUUCGUAGAUAUUGGGAAGAACACCGGUGGCGAAGGCGGCUAUCUGGCCCGUAAUUGACGCUGAGGCGCGAAAGCGUGGGGAGCAAACAGG